GCCUGGGUGGCUCAGUUGGUUGGGCAUCCGAUUUUGGCUCAGGUCAUGAUCUCAUGGUUUGUGAGUUCAAGCCCCACUUUGGGCU
Molecule: non-coding RNA, 85 nt
Organism: Felis catus (domestic cat)
Lineage: Eukaryota; Metazoa; Chordata; Mammalia; Carnivora; Felidae
Source: Rfam